UUCUUAUUUGGAACCAAGAGUCAAAGUUCACAAUGAAAAGCGAAAGCAGAAAGUAGAGUGAUAAAACAACUUACUUUCAAACUGAAAAUAUCUCAUGCUGUCAUAAACAUGGUGAGCUGAAGCACAGCUCAAGCCCGGACCCAGCCAGCUGGGCGCCCCAACUCUGGCCCCGGC
This is a long non-coding RNA of Gopherus evgoodei (Goodes thornscrub tortoise), 174 nucleotides long. RefSeq lists it as uncharacterized. The record is from RefSeq and is a predicted model, not a curated record. The transcript has 3 exons. Lineage: Eukaryota; Metazoa; Chordata; Testudines; Testudinidae.